Helianthus annuus (common sunflower) is the source of this 1394-nucleotide long non-coding RNA. RefSeq lists it as uncharacterized. The transcript is spliced from 3 exons. NCBI's taxonomy places the organism in Eukaryota, Viridiplantae, Streptophyta, Magnoliopsida, Asterales, Asteraceae. The record is from RefSeq and is a predicted model, not a curated record.
CCAUUAAAGUCAAUGGGAACAUUAAGCAAUCUCAGCCCUUAGAUGAAGCCAAGAUUAAAUCCUGACCGUUAUAAAUCAGAAAAAGUUUCUAGAAGGGGAGGUUUAUUUUGGUUUCACUUUGACCGAACUUGUGCGAAAUUGUUGGAACUCCCACGUUCUAUUUGAAAUUUGAAACCUUUGUUCUAUCUUCUAGAAGGAGUAACCUCUCUCCUGUAUAGGAGCAGUUAUUGGAAACAACGCGGGAUCGGUUUUUGUAACCUACUAGGUACAGUUUUCCAGAUCUUCGCAACCCUAUAUACAACCCCACGUCUACCCUCAUCCCAAGCUCUUCUGCAAUUGUUUCUAAUUUCUUUUCAUCUUCACAUGGAGAUGCUUCUCAAUUCUCAUUAUACCUUAAUUGGCGAGAACACUAGUCCGUACGCCAUUGCAUCUUCCACUCUUCACCAAAAAGGUUGAAUAAUAAUUUCGAAUGGCUGAAGUGAAGAACCCUCUGGCAGGCUUUUUUUUAUUUAUUGCAAUACGAUUGAUUGACGAAGAUAUUUCUUUCACCAAAAUCACUGGCUCAAAAGCUUCAAAUCGAUGUUCUUGUCUGAUGCUCAGGCAGUCCAGAAGAAGCUACUAGGUGGAUUUGGAUACAUGAGUUGCAGGUACAAACUCAAAAAGAUGGUAGCCAUUUAGGUCAAGAUGGUUGGUGGGGUGCAGAGGAGGCUGAUGUAAACCGAUUAACUGCAGCAGUUAUGGCUUUUGAUUUCGGGUCAGAGUCCGGGCAGUUUUCGUUGAAAAGUCUUAGAUGUUUGAUGGAACACAAGUUUUUUUUUUCAGAUCUGCGGAUUGGAUAUGAAUGGAAUGGGUGGGUUCCUAUUAAGGUAAAUUUUGUGGCAUGGAGACUUGUCUUAAAUAGGUUGCCAACUGCUGUGAAUUUGGUCCAAAGAAACAUUAAUAUUCCAGACACAAGGUGCAAGGUUUGUAAUGAAGAAGACGAGUCGGCAUCGCAUUUGUUCGUGGCAUGCAAUUUUGCUCAGAAGGUUUGGGAUUUUGUAGUGGGUUGGUGCAGGCUUGGACCCCUUUUUUAUCCUUGAACUAGAAGAUUUGGUGACUGUCCAGAAUUCAUACCUCAGCUUGGCGAAGUGGAAGAAACUCAAGAAAUGGGCAUUCAUGUGAAUUUUGGGUCUUCUUUGGUGGGAUGCUUUGAUUGGCAAGAAGAUAGCAACUGAAGAUUAAACAAUGUCAUAUAAAACUCCUGCCAAACUUUAUUGGUAUAUUUCCAUGUUAUCACUUAGUUAGGCGAUACUGAUUAUUGCUACCUAAAAAAUGUGUAUAAACCCCACCCCUCAACUUCAAGAAACAUUCCAAGAUUUGUUACUCACAGUUUAUAUUAUAGGGAAGAGUGUAUG